Molecule: ribosomal RNA, 879 nt
Filed under: Triticum aestivum (bread wheat)
Lineage: Eukaryota; Viridiplantae; Streptophyta; Magnoliopsida; Poales; Poaceae
Description: partial small subunit ribosomal RNA
Source: RNAcentral
AUGUCUUCUUCGGGGUAUGUCGUUGUUCCCCGGUGCUCGGUGAUCUUCGAUGGCACCAACUAUGCUGAGUUUGUGGGCUUCAUGCACAUUCAUAUGCGUGGCCUUCUUCUGUGGGGUGUUCUCUCUGGCGAGGUCCCUUGUCCGCCAUGCCCUGUUGCCCCUAUGGCCCCAAUUCCACCGGUGCCGCCGGUACUUGCUGCUGAUGCUUCUCAGGCUGACCGGGAUGCAGCCAAGGCUCUCGAUGAUGUUGCAGUUGAUGUUUAUGACCAGCAGGUAUCAGCUUAUUCAGAUGUUCUUUCUGUGUACCGUGAUGAUCUGUCUGCCUACAGUCAGUGGUGCAAUGAUGAUGCUCGUGCUGCGGCUGUUCUCACUCCGAGUGUCCUCCCUCAGUUUGCUUCAGAGUUCAUGGGACUUGGCACAGUUGCAGCGAUGUGGUCGUACCUCUGUCAGCGCUAUCAGCCUUCUGGUGAUGCUCUCUACCUAUCCGUGGUGCAUCAGGAGCACGCACUUCAGCAAGGUGAUUCCUCUGUUGAUGAGUUCUAUUCACAGUGCUCUGCCAUCUGGCGUCAGCUUGACUCUCUUCGGACAGUUGUUUGUGGAACUUGCCGUUGCUGUCAGACUACACGGUCCGAUUUGGAGUUUCAGCAGGUUCAUGAGUUCUUAUCUCGUCUCCGCUCUGAGUUCGAGCCUCGACGUGCUCACCUGCUUGCUCGUGGUCGUGGUCCUAUCUCGGAGGUACUUGCUGAGCUUCGUGCUGAGGAGACCCGCCUUCGCUCUGCUGGGUUACUUGUGGUUCCUUCAGUGUUGGCCACCCGGGCUCCUGUGUCAGCUGCUCGCCUCACUGCUCCACCACUCCAGCCCACUCCUUCAGGGGGGUGA